UGUGCAUUAGCUUCAAAGGGAAGCAUCUGCCUUAUACGCAGAGGAGUACGGGUUCGAAUCCCGUAUGCAGUAA
This 73-nucleotide transfer RNA is filed under the name Clostridia bacterium. Its description in RNAcentral is "tRNA-Ile". It matches the Rfam family "tRNA". From Rfam's summary of the family: Transfer RNA (tRNA) molecules are approximately 80 nucleotides in length. Their secondary structure includes four short double-helical elements and three loops (D, anti-codon, and T loops). Lineage: Bacteria; Bacillati; Bacillota; Clostridia. The record is from RNAcentral.